AACUACCUACAUUAUAAUUUGACCUAAAAAAUUUGCCCUACUCAAACCCUAUAGGCUUGAACCAUAAUUCCAAGCAUUAUAAAUCAUGGGUGAGCUCAAGCGGGCUUAGUGGGUCAUUGUGCUUCCCUCUAUCUCCUCUCCCUUCUAUUUGCCUCCUCCUCUAUUCCUUUCCCAGAUUUCUUAACUUCAUCUCAUGAAGCCCCUUUCAUCUUCCGCCUCCAACUAACACUUUCCCACCCAUUCUUAUCUACCACUACCAUGAUCCACCUUCAUUCUCAACCAGCACCCAUCUUUACAACACAAACACUCGCUACAGCUACCCAACCAUCAUCGCUACUCCAUUCUCUCACUCUAUCCCACCAUUCUCUUCUAUAAGACCAACACUUACAAAACGCUAACCUGGUAGCGACCACAGGAAUCGCUCACCUCCACCAAUGUAAAUUGCAAAUUACAUGCAAAUCGCUCUCCUUCAUUAGCUACGGUAACAAUUUAAUGGGAAUUUUGUUGUGGACAUAUGGAUUUGCAAAAGGCGACAAAUGGGUGAGUUUUAGACGGCGGUUGCAAAACAGUGAGAUGAUAUAUCAAUUCUACAGUAGGAACAUAUAGAGAUUAGAUUGACGCAUAGAGGAAAUGAAAGUAGCUGUGCCAAUGCAUGCAAUGCAAUUAUAGAGUGGAGGUGUUGAGGUUUGGCGAUGUCAAGUGUUUGUUGCAAAGUAAUACACUCCGUAAGUUUUGGUCGAAUUCAUAAAGUUUAUUUGUAUAUACCAUUUUAUAUUAUUAGAGUACAAUGAUAAGGUAGUGUUUAUCAUCAUUAUUUUCUUAAUCAUUAUUUUCAAACUAGGGCAAAAUUUGAAUAUCCAUUUAAACAGUGAAAAAAAUAUCAAUGACAUAUCUUUCUUUUUUAUUUGAAUAUCUCUAAAACUAGAGAAAUUUGAAGAGAAAGGAGUUAAUAGUUGUCAAUUUUGCGUUCUUUCACUUCUUUUUUUAUUUUUAUUUUUUCCCUUUAUUUUUUCUUCAUAAAAAAGAGAAGAAGAUAAUACUCCAUUAUUUUCUCUCAGAAAAGGCUACAUUGUGCACCUCCAAUAGGGCGCAUAUGAUAUCCCUUCAAAACUUUUUCACAAAAUUAUACAAAAUUUCGUAACUAAACCACAAAAUAUCAUAAUUAUUUUCAUCACAAUAAUCAAAACUUUUUUUUUUUAUCACAAAAUAUUAUAACAUAAAUCACAAAGUAUUAUAAUAUUACCAUUCAUAACUUUAUAGUGCAUAUCACAAAUUCAUAAUUCGUAAUUUUCACAAAAUAUCAUAACACCACAAAUAUUCAUAACUUUCACACAAAACAACAUAACUUUCAUACAAUGUGCACAAUUUUUAGGGUGGAUGGCGUAAAUUUAUCAAUUUCUCUUUUUUCUUUUCUCCUAAAUUGUCUAAAUAAUAAAAAAUAUAUACCACUAACCUUUUUUUUCUUUUGUUGUUUUUGCCCUGCAGCCUAUUCUCAAAAUUUAAUUCAAUCAAGUUUCUUCAAAAAAAGACAAUAAAAUUUUUAAAUAUGAUGGAUGUCUUCUACAUAAAUUUGAAAAAAUUCACUUCUUUGGUUGUGGUGUUGCCUUGCCAGACACGAGAAAAGUAUUUUUGUACUAGGGCUACAUAUCCGGAAUAAUCUCACUCCAACUGAUAUUAUAGCGAGCCAGUCAUAAAUCAAAACUAAAAAGUAUAUUCAAGGGCAGCACUACCAUUACAAGUGGUAUAUGCAAUUGAAUGGCUGAUCUUGCAAAAUGUUUAUUCACAGAAAAGGGUAUUUAUUCAUAUGAUGGAGGUAAGACUUCAAACAUGUCUAGUAGGAUUACAUAUCAUAAAAGCAUAUUUAUUCUUAUUAAGAGUUCAAAUUUUAAAAAUUACUGCAAAAAAACAUCAAAUCACUAUUUAUGGCUUGAUGCAUACAAAUUUCAUUCAGGAAGGAACAGAACGUGGUUCACCUUUUUUUUCUGACAACAAAGAAAAAAUCUCAAUUUUCAGUAAGCCUCAACACAGCUUCCAUUUAUUUUGCAUCACAUAGUUUGCAAAAUUUUGGGGAAAAAAUAAAAUCCUCAACCUUACCUAAGAGAAAUUUA
Camellia sinensis is the source of this 2108-nucleotide non-coding RNA. NCBI's taxonomy places the organism in Eukaryota, Viridiplantae, Streptophyta, Magnoliopsida, Ericales, Theaceae. The record is from RefSeq and is a predicted model, not a curated record.